AGAGCCUCCGUCAAGGCGAAUGCAUGGACGGGACGGAAACAAACAUCCAUGGACGGAUUCCGUUCCGCUGGUUCUGGGCUGAGUUCCCGAGGUGAAAGAUUUCCCCCACCGUGCCCGUGCGAGUGCGACAGCAUCCUGAAGUGAUGCAUUGAUGAAUUCUAUAAACAGUUCCGCCGCGGAAUCAAACGGUGCCAUUAUUAGUUUAAAGGUGCGCUUACCGCAUUACAAAAUCUCAUCGUGACUGACUAAGCAGCCGCCCGGGAUCACUUCUACAUCUUCUAGCUGGUGCUUUCCGGCAUCUGGACCAGUUUUCUCAGCAGAUCGCAACGGGUUUGACAAACCGCGGAAGAAUCCUGCAAUGCCUUUUAUCAAAUUGAUGCUGGAGGGCGUCAACUAAUGGAAAAAAAAUCGACCGGAUGAUGAUCCGGCGCACCGCCUCAGUAGCCCUCGUUGCUCACGUCCUCGAUCAGCUGAGGGGAAGGCCGACUCCAGGACAAGAACGAGAAGUUGUUAGCAGUAGAAGAGAAAAACGAACGGAAAAGCACGUGAAUGUAAUUCAGGAACUGCGAACGGAACUUCAACUGCAGUUCCGAAGCAACGAUCAACCGAGCCGAUUGGUCUUCGGGCUCAGACAAGAAAUCAGAGUUAAAAUUAACUUACUACAAGAACUUAAACACUACAAAACUUAAUAAAAACAAUAAAUUAUUUAAACAAAAAUCAUUUUAAAACAUCCACCGAUCCAAAGAUUGGUGCCUAAAGACGAAUUUCGUCAAAAACAUCUAAAAUAAUCGGGUUAAAACCGCACAUUCAAAUCGGCUGGUCGUCAGCCGAACUGACAGAACACGUUACGACAAGACUUGGCAGUAUAGUCUUUCAGUAGACUGGCCAA
Aedes albopictus (Asian tiger mosquito) is the source of this 889-nucleotide long non-coding RNA. RefSeq lists it as uncharacterized. Lineage: Eukaryota; Metazoa; Arthropoda; Insecta; Diptera; Culicidae. The record is from RefSeq and is a predicted model, not a curated record. The transcript has 3 exons.